GUGGGGAAUCUUCCGCAAUGGACGAAAGUCUGACGGAGCAACGCCGCGUGAGUGAUGAAGGUCUUCGGAUUGUAAAGCUCUGUUAAUCGGGACGAAAGAGCCUAGUGUGAAUAAUGCUAGGAAGUGACGGUACCGGAAUAGAAAGCCACGGCUAACUACGUGCCAGCAGCCGCGGUAAUACGUAGGUGGCAAGCGUUGUCCGGAAUUAUUUGGCGUAAAGCGCGCGCAGGCGGAUCUGCCAGUCUGUCUUAAAAGUUCGGGGCUUAAGCCCGUGAUGGGAUGGAAACUACAGAUCUAGAGUAUCGGAGAGGAAAGUGGAAUUCCUAGUGUAGCGGUGAAAUGCGUAGAUAUUAGGAAGAACCCCAGUGGCGAAGGCGACUUUCUGGACGAAAACUGACGCUGAGGCGCGAAAGCCAGGGGAGCGAACGGGAUUAGAAACCCUAGUAGUCC
RNAcentral lists this ribosomal RNA (450 nucleotides) under uncultured bacterium. RNAcentral describes it as "partial 16S ribosomal RNA". It matches the Rfam family "Bacterial small subunit ribosomal RNA", at positions 354 to 796 of the family's 1533-position model. The record is from RNAcentral.